CCUACGGGAGGCAGCAGUAGGGAAUCUUCCACAAUGGGCGAAAGCCUGAUGGAGCAAUGCCGCGUGGGUGAAGAAGGUCUUCGGAUUGUAAAACCCUGUUGUUAGAGAAGAAAGUGCGUGAGAGUAACUGUUCACGUUUUGACGGUAUCUAAACAGAAAGCCCCGGCUAACUACGUGCCAGCAGCCGCGGUAAUACGUAGGGGGCAAGCGUUAUCCGGAAUUAUUGGGCGUAAAGCGAACGCAGGCGGUUUUUUAAGUUUGAUGUGAAAGCCCCGGGCUUAACCGGGGAAGUGCAUUGGAAACUG
This 305-nucleotide ribosomal RNA is filed under the name uncultured bacterium. RNAcentral describes it as "bacterial SSU rRNA". It matches the Rfam family "Bacterial small subunit ribosomal RNA", at positions 338 to 635 of the family's 1533-position model. The record is from RNAcentral.